This 200-nucleotide ribosomal RNA is filed under the name uncultured bacterium. RNAcentral describes it as "partial 16S ribosomal RNA". It matches the Rfam family "Bacterial small subunit ribosomal RNA", at positions 8 to 204 of the family's 1533-position model. The record is from RNAcentral.
AGAGUUUGAUCCUGGCUCAGAGCGAACGCUGGCGGCGUGCCUAACACAUGCAAGUCGAACGUGAAAGGGGGCAACCCUGAGUAAAGUGGCGUACGGGUGAGUAACACGUAGGUAAUCUACCCCAGAGUCUGGAAUAACCUGCCGAAAGGCGGGCUAAUACUAGAUAGAGCGACGGAACUCGUAAUCGGGUUUUUCGGGAA